UAUGAAUCGCGUUAGGGAUUGAAGCGGCAUCCUUUUGUUUAGGGUGCCUUUAGCAACCUAAACAAAAGAUACAGCGGAAAGCCCAACACUUU
Molecule: small RNA, 92 nt
Filed under: Tenacibaculum discolor
Lineage: Bacteria; Pseudomonadati; Bacteroidota; Flavobacteriia; Flavobacteriales; Flavobacteriaceae
Description: Flavo-1 RNA
Rfam family: Flavo-1 RNA
Source: RNAcentral